This 393-nucleotide ribosomal RNA is filed under the name uncultured Pseudomonadota bacterium. RNAcentral describes it as "bacterial SSU rRNA". It matches the Rfam family "Bacterial small subunit ribosomal RNA", at positions 670 to 1060 of the family's 1533-position model. The record is from RNAcentral. Lineage: Bacteria; Pseudomonadati; Pseudomonadota.
CACGUGUAGCAGUGAAAUGCGUAGAUAUGUGGAGGAAUACCAAUGGCGAAGGCAGCCCCCUGGGAUAACACUGACGCUCAUGCACGAAAGCGUGGGGAGCAAACAGGAUUAGAUACCCUGGUAGUCCACGCCCUAAACGAUGCCGACUAGUUGUUGGGAAUUUACAUUCUCAGUAACGUAGCUAACGCGUGAAGUCGGCCGCCUGGGGAGUACGGUCGCAAGAUUAAAACUCAAAGGAAUUGACGGGGACCCGCACAAGCGGUGGAUGAUGUGGAUUAAUUCGAUGCAACGCGAAAAACCUUACCUACCCUUGACAUGUCACUAACGAAGUAGAGAUACAUUAGGUGCCCGUAAGGGAAAGUGAACACAGGUGCUGCAUGGCUGUCGUCAGCU